Molecule: RNA transcript, 810 nt
Organism: Neofelis nebulosa (Clouded leopard)
Lineage: Eukaryota; Metazoa; Chordata; Mammalia; Carnivora; Felidae
Gene: MYL7
Gene name: myosin light chain 7
Exons: 7
Source: RefSeq, a predicted model, not a curated record
UGGGUACAUGCCCGGAUGUUACACAUCAGGGGGCCUGAAGGUCACCAGGAACGUGGCUGGAAUCUGCCUGGGGCCCUGUCCUCCCCCAGCCCAGGCAGGGCUACCAAAUUUGGGCCUGUCCUCUCCUCCUGUCCUUAUUUGGUGCUCCAGGUGAUAAGGCUGAGGCAUAAAACGGGCUGUGGGCCCCUUGCAGCAACCAGGCGGCCACAGAGAGAGGAUGGUGAGUGUCAGGCCAGCAGGAAGGCGGGGACCCGGGGCAAGGCCGCAGCUGCCAAGCAGGCCCAGCGAGGCUCUUCCAAUGUCUUUUCCAUGUUUGAACAAGCCCAGAUCCAGGAAUUCAAGGAGGCCUUCAGCUGCAUUGACCAGAACCGUGAUGGCAUCAUCUGCAAGUCAGACCUUCGGGAGACCUACUCCCAGCUCGGGAAGGUGAGCAUCCCGGAAGAGGAACUGGAUGCCAUGCUGCAGGAAGGGAAGGGUCCCAUCAACUUCACGGUCUUCCUCACGCUCUUCGGGGAGAAGCUCAACGGGACAGACCCCGAGGAAGCCAUCCUGAACGCCUUCCGCAUGUUUGACCCCAGUGGCAAGGGCGUGGUGAACAAGGAUGAGUAAGUGUUCAAACAGCUUCUCCUGACUCAGGCAGACAAGUUCUCUCCGGCUGAGGUGGAGCAGAUGUUCGCCCUGACGCCCAUGGACCUGGCGGGGGACGUCGACUACAAGUCUCUGUGCUACAUCAUCACCCAUGGGGAUGAGAAAGAGGAGUGAGGGGAGCAGCCCCCAGGGUCACCACAAUAAAUGCUGUUUUCAAUCAGA